CGCCUCUUGACAAUAUAUAAGAGGUCUAGCCUGCCCAGUGACUCUGUUCAACGGCCGCGGUAUCCUAACCGUGCGAAGGUAGCGUAAUCACUUGUUCUUUAAAUGAGGACUAGUAUGAAUGGCAUUACGAGGGUUAUACUGUCUCCUUUUCCUAAUCAGUGAAACUAAUCUCCUCGUGAAGAAGCGAGGAUGAACAUAUAAGACGAGAAGACCCUAUGGAGCUUUAAACUUCCAGCAAUUAUCUUUUUUACAUUAACCUUAAGGUAAUCAAAUUAACUUUAAUAUUAUGCCUGUUAGUUUUCGGUUGGGGUGACCGCGGAGUAAAAAUUAUCCUCCGCAAUGAAUACUAAACGUUUAAGCAACAAACUACAAUUUUAUGCAUCAAAAAAUUGACACUAUUGACCCAACAUUUUGAUCAACGAACCAAGUUACCCUAGGGAUAACAGCGCAAUCCAUCUCAAGAGCUCAUAUCGACAGAUGGGUUUACGACCUCGAUGUUGGAUCAGGGUAUCCCAGUGGUGCAGCCGCUACAAAAGGUUCGUUUGUUCAACGAUUAAAACCCUA
This 564-nucleotide ribosomal RNA is filed under the name Pithecopus hypochondrialis (orange-legged leaf frog). RNAcentral describes it as "Phyllomedusa hypochondrialis (orange-legged leaf frog) partial 16S ribosomal RNA". It matches the Rfam family "Bacterial large subunit ribosomal RNA", at positions 1829 to 2598 of the family's 2925-position model. Lineage: Eukaryota; Metazoa; Chordata; Amphibia; Anura; Hylidae. The record is from RNAcentral.